RNAcentral lists this ribosomal RNA (411 nucleotides) under uncultured bacterium. Its description in RNAcentral is "bacterial SSU rRNA". It matches the Rfam family "Bacterial small subunit ribosomal RNA", at positions 355 to 758 of the family's 1533-position model. The record is from RNAcentral.
UGGGGAAUAUUGGACAAUGGGCGCAAGCCUGAUCCAGCCAUACCGCGUGGGUGAAGAAGGCCUUCGGGUUGUAAAGCCCUUUUGUUGGGAAAGAAAUCCAGCUGGCUAAUACCCGGUUGGGAUGACGGUACCCAAAGAAUAAGCACCGGCUAACUUCGUGCCAGCAGCCGCGGUAAUACGAAGGGUGCAAGCGUUACUCGGAAUUACUGGGCGUAAAGCGUGCGUAGGUGGUCGUUUAAGUCCGUUGUGAAAGCCCUGGGCUCAACCUGGGAACUGCAGUGGAUACUGGGCGACUAGAGUGUGGUAGAGGGUAGCGGAAUUCCUGGUGUAGCAGUGAAAUGCGUAGAGAUCAGGAGGAACAUCCAUGGCGAAGGCAGCUACCUGGACCAACACUGACACUGAGGCACGAAA